CCCAAUUCGUGGCUAAGUGGGAAAGCAGGUGGGACGACCAAAACAACCAGGAGGUUGGCUUAGAAGCAGCCAUCCUUUAAAGAUAGCGUAACAGCUCACUGGUCUAAACAAGUUGUCCUGCGGCGAAGAUGUAACGGGGCUCAAGCCACGAGCCGAAGCCGAGGAGUGCGUAAGCACUGGUAGCAGAGCGUAGUGUGACAUAGUCUCAUUCCUCCUUAGCGGGUUCGCCCGCCUUGGAGGAGAGAGGCUUUCGAUGAAGCCGGGGCGUGAGCCAUCCGGUGGAGAGAUCACUAGUGAGAAUGAUGACAUGAGUAGCGACAAAGAGUGUGAGAGACACUCUCGCCGAAAGUCCAAGGGUUCCUGCUUAAAGCUAAUCUGAGCAGGGUAAGCCGGCCCCUAAGGCGAGGCCGAAA
RNAcentral lists this ribosomal RNA (413 nucleotides) under Roseovarius sp. HI0049. RNAcentral's name for it is "bacterial LSU rRNA". It matches the Rfam family "Bacterial large subunit ribosomal RNA", at positions 1047 to 1407 of the family's 2925-position model. Lineage: Bacteria; Pseudomonadati; Pseudomonadota; Alphaproteobacteria; Rhodobacterales; Roseobacteraceae. The record is from RNAcentral.